CUCUGUGACUCCUACGGGAGGCAGCAGUGGGGAAUAUUGCACAAUGGGGGAAACCCUGAUGCAGCCAUGCCGCGUGUGUGAAGAAGGCCUUCGGGUUGUAAAGCACUUUCAGUAGGGAGGAAGGUAGUGUAGUUAACACCUGCAUUAUUUGACGUUACCUACAGAAGAAGCACCGGCUAACUCCGUGCCAGCAGCCGCGGUAAUACGGAGGGUGCGAGCGUUAAUCGGAAUUACUGGGCGUAAAGCGCAUGCAGGCGGCCUGUUAAGUCAGAUGUGAAAGCCCCGGGGCUUAACCUCGGAAUUGCAUUUGAAACUGGCAGGCUAGAGUCUUGUAGAGGGGGUAGAAUUUCAGGUGUAGCGGUGAAAUGCGUAGAGAUCUGAAGGAAUUACCAGUGGCGAAGGCGGCCCCCUGGACAAAGACUGACGCUCAGAUGCGAAAGCGUGGGGAGCAAACAGGAUUAGAUACCCUGGUAG
RNAcentral lists this ribosomal RNA (474 nucleotides) under uncultured bacterium. RNAcentral's name for it is "bacterial SSU rRNA". It matches the Rfam family "Bacterial small subunit ribosomal RNA", at positions 328 to 793 of the family's 1533-position model. The record is from RNAcentral.